Molecule: ribosomal RNA, 821 nt
Filed under: uncultured bacterium
Lineage: Bacteria
Description: bacterial SSU rRNA
Rfam family: Bacterial small subunit ribosomal RNA
Source: RNAcentral
ACACAUGCAAGUCGAGCGAGAAAGGGGGGGCAACCCCCUGAGUAGAGCGGCGCACGGGUGAGUAACGCGUGGGUAACCUACCCCCAGGCGGGGGAUAACUACUCGAAAGGGUGGCUAAUACCGCAUGAGACCACGGGAUCUUCGGAUCCUGAGGCUAAAGAUCGCACCGGCUUGCCGGUGCUGUCACCAGGGGAUGGGCCCGCGUCCGAUUAGCUAGUUGGUGAGGUAAUGGCUCACCAAGGCUCCGAUCGGUAGCUGGUCUGAGAGGAUGAUCAGCCACACUGGAACUGAAACACGGUCCAGACUCCUACGGGAGGCAGCAGUGAGGAAUAUUGCGCAAUGGGGGAAACCCUGACGCAGCAACGCCGCGUGGGUGAAGAAGGCCUUCGGGUCGUAAAGCCCUUUCGGACGGGACGAACGCUCCGCGGUGACAAGCCGCGGAGUCUGACGGUACCGUAGGAAGAAGCACCGGCUAACUCCGUGCCAGCAGCCGCGGUAAUACGGAGGGUGCGAGCGUUGUUCGGAAUUACUGGGCGUAAAGCGCGUGUAGGCGGCCUUGCAAGUCAGGCGUGAAAGCCCUCGGCUUAACCGGGGAAGUGCGUCUGAAACUGCUUGGCUUGAGUACGGGAGAGGGAGGCGGAAUUCCCAGUGUAGAGGUGAAAUUAGUAGAUAUCGGGAGGAACACCGGUGGCGAAAGCGGCGUCCUGGACCGAUACUGACGCUGAGACGCGAAAGCGUGGGGAGCAAACAGGAUUAGAUACCCUGGUAGUCCACGCGGUAAACGAUGGGCACUAGGUGUGGGGGGUAUCCACUCCUCCGGU